Molecule: ribosomal RNA, 270 nt
Filed under: Rhizonema sp. 'cyanobiont of Dictyonema ramificans'
Lineage: Bacteria; Bacillati; Cyanobacteriota; Cyanophyceae; Nostocales; Rhizonemataceae
Description: partial 16S ribosomal RNA
Rfam family: Bacterial small subunit ribosomal RNA
Source: RNAcentral
GAUGAACGCUGGCGGUAUGCUUAACACAUGCAAGUCGAACGGUUUCUUAGGAGAUAGUGGCGGACGGGUGAGUAACGCGUGAGAAUCUGGCUCUAGGUCUGGGACAACCACUGGAAACGGUGGCUAAUACCGGGUGUGCCGAAAGGUGAAAGGUUAACUGCCUGGAGAUGAGCUCGCGUCUGAUUAGCUAGUUGGUAGGGUAAAAGCUUACCAAGGCGACGAUCAGUAGCUGGUCUGAGAGGACGAUCAGCCACACUGGGACUGAGACAC